RNAcentral lists this ribosomal RNA (433 nucleotides) under uncultured bacterium. RNAcentral describes it as "bacterial SSU rRNA". It matches the Rfam family "Bacterial small subunit ribosomal RNA", at positions 328 to 778 of the family's 1533-position model. The record is from RNAcentral.
CUUCCAGACUCCUACGGGAGGCAGCAGUGGGGGAUAUUGCACAAUGGGGGAAACCCUGAUGCAGCGACGCCGCGUGGGUGAAGAAGCGCCUCGGCGCGUAAAGCCCUGUCAGCAGGGAAGAAAAUGACGGUACCUGAAGAAGAAGCCCCGGCUAACUACGUGCCAGCAGCCGCGGUAAUACGUAGGGGGCAAGCGUUAUCCGGAUUUACUGGGUGUAAAGGGGGCGCAGACGGCGAUGCAAGCCAGGAGUGAAAGCCCGGGGCCCAACCCCGGGACUGCUCUUGGAACGGGGGGGCUGGAGUGCAGGAGGGGAAGGCGGAAUUCCUGGGGUGGCGGGGAAAUGCGUAGAUAUCAGGAGGAACACCGGUGGCGAAGGCGGCCUGCUGGACUGAAAUUGACGUUGAGGCCCGAAAGCGUGGGGAGCAAACAGGAU